This 492-nucleotide ribosomal RNA is filed under the name uncultured bacterium. RNAcentral describes it as "partial 16S ribosomal RNA". It matches the Rfam family "Bacterial small subunit ribosomal RNA", at positions 29 to 507 of the family's 1533-position model. The record is from RNAcentral.
AGUGAACGCUGGCGGUAGGCCUAACACAUGCAAGUCGAACGGCAGCACAGUAAGAGCUUGCUCUUACGGGUGGCGAGUGGCGGACGGGUGAGGAAUACAUCGGAAUCUACUUUUUCGUGGGGGAUAACGUAGGGAAACUUACGCUAAUACCGCAUACGACCUACGGGUGAAAGCAGGGGAUCUUCUGACCUUGCGCGAUUGAAUGAGCCGAUGUCGGAUUAGCUAGUUGGCGGGGUAAAGGCCCACCAAGGCGACGAUCCGUAGCUGGUCUGAGAGGAUGAUCAGCCACACUGGAACUGAGACACGGUCCAGACUCCUACGGGAGGCAGCAGUGGGGAAUAUUGGACAAUGGGCGCAAGCCUGAUCCAGCCAUACCGCGUGGGUGAAGAAGGACUUCGGGUUGUAAAGCCCUUUUGUUGGGAAAGAAAAGAAGCAGGUUAAUACCCCGCUGUUCUGACGGUACCCAAAGAAUAAGCACCGGCUAACUUCGUG